UACGUAGGUGGCAAGCGUUGUCCGGAUUUACUGGGCGUAAAGGGCGUGCAGGCGGUUUGUUAAGUGCAGGGUGAAAGCUCCCGGCUCAACUGGGAGAGGUCCUUGCAUACUGGCAAACUCGAGGGAGGCAGAGGAAAGUGGAAUUCCCGGUGUAGUGGUGAUAUGCGUAGAUAUCGGGAGGAGCACCUGUGGUGAAGGCGGCUUUCUGGGCCUUACCUGACGCUGAGACGCGAAAGCGUGGGGAGCGAACCGG
This 253-nucleotide ribosomal RNA is filed under the name uncultured bacterium. RNAcentral describes it as "partial 16S ribosomal RNA". It matches the Rfam family "Bacterial small subunit ribosomal RNA", at positions 524 to 776 of the family's 1533-position model. The record is from RNAcentral.